ACGGAAGGCAGCAGUGGGGGAUAUUGGACAAUGGGGGAAACCCUGAUCCAGCGACGCCGCGUGAGUGAAGAAGUAUUUCGGUAUGUAAAGCUCUAUCAGCAGGGAAGAAAAAAUCAAAAUUGACUGUACCUGACUAAGAAGCCCCGGCUAACUACGUGCCAGCAGCCGCGGUAAUACGUAGGGGGCAAGCGUUAUCCGGAUUUACUGGGUGUAAAGGGCGUGUAGGCGGAGCUGCAAGUCAGAUGUGAAAUCCAUGGGCUCAACCCAUGAAUUGCAUUUGAAACUGUAGCCCUUGAGUAUCGGAGAGGCAAGCGGAAUUCCUAGUGUAGCGGUGAAAUGCGUAGAUAUUAGGAGGAACACCAGUGGCGAAGGCGGCUUGCUGGACGACAACUGACGCUGAGGCGCGAAAGCGUGGGGAGCAAACAGGAUUAGAUACCCUGGUA
This 443-nucleotide ribosomal RNA is filed under the name uncultured Clostridium sp. RNAcentral describes it as "partial 16S ribosomal RNA". It matches the Rfam family "Bacterial small subunit ribosomal RNA", at positions 341 to 792 of the family's 1533-position model. Lineage: Bacteria; Bacillati; Bacillota; Clostridia; Eubacteriales; Clostridiaceae. The record is from RNAcentral.